CCCUUAGAUGUUCUGGGCCGCACGCGUGCUACACUGAGUGGAUCAGCGGGUCAGGUUGCGCGAAAGCGUUUCCUAAUCUUUAAAUCCGCUCGUGAUGGGGAUUGACAGUUGCAAUUUUCUGUCAUGAACGAGGAAUACCUUGUAAGCGCGGGUCAUCAUCCCGCGCUGAAUACGUCCCUGCCCUUUGUACACACCGCCCGUCGCUCCUACCGAUUGAGUGGUCCGGUGAGGCUUUGGGAUCUGAGCGGAAAGAGCGUUUCGCUGUUUCUGCUCGGAAAACUCAGUCGAACCUUAUCAUUUAGAGGAAGGAGAAGUCGUAACA
This 322-nucleotide ribosomal RNA is filed under the name uncultured eukaryote. RNAcentral describes it as "partial 18S ribosomal RNA". It matches the Rfam family "Eukaryotic small subunit ribosomal RNA", at positions 1470 to 1796 of the family's 1831-position model. The record is from RNAcentral.